GGCUAAGGCACGGCCAGGAGGAGAAACAGUGGAAUGGAAGCGCGUGGUUGUGCAUUGCGGGCCGUCCCCAGGGCCUGGAGGACAGGGCGGAUCCAGGGCCGAGGAGACCAGAGCAGGAUUCUGGGAGGGCGCACAGGGGCACAUAGAGGGCAGAGCUGUGGCGGAUCCGCGGGCAGAGGCAUUUGCAGGAACCGAAGGAGCCUGAAGGACGGCCAAGCAGCUCUUUCCAGGUGAGCGGCCACACACAGCCGCACUCCUCGGGUCCCCCGGCUCGGCCCCGCCCCCGACCCAGCCNGAGUAAGGAGCCAGCUUCCCACCCAUUCCCAGCCAAGGUGAACAGGCUGCGAGUUUGUUGACAGAGAAAAAAGUCAUCAAUUUUUCAUUACCCAGUGAAGGCAACAGAAUGUCUCGGGAUGUCAACAGUUUCCAGGCAACAAAGACAAACCAAAUACACAGUCCCCUCACCUAAAAAGAUGUUUCCUUUACAACAUCAGCUUGGAUGGGGAGCCGGGGAAGACGAGAGGCAGAGGCAGGUGGUUCUAACCAAAACAGGAAGGAUGGCCCUUUCCGGAGCACUUUGUCAGGCCUGCAGGCUCCCAGGAUGUCUCCUUGUGUUUGCGUUGACAUUUCCCAGUGAAUGUCAAUGAAGACUCAAGAAUAAGUCAACACAGGUCCUCACGAUAAAUGCCAAAGCUUGUUAGCAGAGUAAACCGUGUGCUUAGCCUGUCUUAAAAGAAUCUUUGCUGGGUAAACAAAAGGAAGGCUUUACUUGAGAGUAAGCAGAGCGAAGAGCUGGGCGCGCCCGGAGGGCUGGUAGGUGACUUCACUGGCACAGGCUGUAGAGACAUCUUCACGGGGUCCGGAGGUCAGGGGCUUUAUCUGAUGUCACACAGGCCUCCCUCCCCAACAGCCAGCCUCUGAUCUUGCAAGGAGCCGCCUUGCUUGGGAAGGAGGCAGAAACUGCAUCUGAAAAGAGAAGCUAGGGACGGAUCUCCUUUGCUCAGAGGUGUCAAGGAACUAAUGUCUUAACCUUCCCUGAACCGUUUUUGUAUUUAGACACAAUUACAGGGGCACCUGUAAAAAAAAAAAAAAAAAAAAAAGUGGCUCAGUGGUUGAGCGUCUGCCUUUGGCUCAGGGCGUGAUCCCGCA
Molecule: long non-coding RNA, 1149 nt
Filed under: Vulpes vulpes (red fox)
Lineage: Eukaryota; Metazoa; Chordata; Mammalia; Carnivora; Canidae
Description: lncRNA (ENSVVUG00000015176.1)
Source: RNAcentral